Molecule: ribosomal RNA, 253 nt
Filed under: uncultured bacterium
Lineage: Bacteria
Description: partial 16S ribosomal RNA
Rfam family: Bacterial small subunit ribosomal RNA
Source: RNAcentral
UACGAAGGGGGCUAGCGUUGCUCGGAAUUACUGGGCGUAAAGGGCGCGUAGGCGGACAGUUUAGUCAGAGGUGAAAGCCCAGGGCUCAACCUUGGAAUUGCCUUUGAUACUGGCUGUCUUGAGUUCGGGAGAGGUGAGUGGAAUGCCGAGUGUAGAGGUGAAAUGCGCAGAUAUCAGGAAGAACACCCGUGGCUAAGGCGGCUCUCUAGUACGGUACUGACGCUGAGACGCGAAAGCGUGGGGAGCGAACAGG